This 492-nucleotide ribosomal RNA is filed under the name uncultured bacterium. RNAcentral's name for it is "partial 16S ribosomal RNA". It matches the Rfam family "Bacterial small subunit ribosomal RNA", at positions 29 to 507 of the family's 1533-position model. The record is from RNAcentral.
AGUGAACGCUGGCGGUAGGCUUAACACAUGCGAGUCGAACGGCAGCACAGUAAGAUCUUGCCCUUACGUGUGGCGCGUGGCGGACGGGUGAGGAAUACAUCGGAAUCUACUUUUUCGUGGGGCAUAACGUAGGGAAUCUUACGCUAUUACCGCACACGACCUAUGGGUGAAAGCAGGGGAUCUUCGGACCUUGCGCGAUUGACUGAGCCGAUGUCGGAUUAGCUAGUUGGCGGGGUAACGGCCCCCCAAGGCGACGAUCUGUAGCUGGUCUGAGAGGAUGAUCGCCCACACUGGAGCUGAGACACGGACCAGAGACCUACGGGAGGCAGCAGUGGGCAAUAGUAGGCAGUGGGCGCAAACAUGAUCCAACCAGAGCGCGUGGGUGAAGAAGGCCUUCGGGUUGUAAAGCCCUUUUGUGGGGAGAAAAAAGCAGCAGGUUAUUACGACGCUGUUCUGACGGUACCCAGAGAAGAAGCACCGGCUAACUUCGUG